GGGGAAUCUUCCGCAAUGGGCGAAAGCCUGACGGAGCAAUACCGCGUGGGGGAGGAAGGCUCUUGGGUCGUAAACCUCUUUUCUCAGGGAAGAACAAAAUGACGGUACCUGAGGAAUAAGCAUCGGCUAACUCCGUGCCAGCAGCCGCGGUAAUACGGAGGAUGCAAGCGUUAUCCGGAAUGAUUGGGCGUAAAGCGUCCGCAGGUGGCAGUACAAGUCUGCUGUCAAAGGUCAAGGCUUAACUUUGAACAGGCAGUGGAAACUGUACAGCUAGAGUGCGGUGGGGGCAGAGGGAAUUCCCAGUGUAGCGGUGAAAUGCGUAGAGAUUGGGAAGAACACCAGUGGCGAAAGCGCUCUGCUAGGCCGCAACUGACACUCAGGGACGAAAGCUAGGGGAGCGAAUGGGAUUAGAUACCCCAG
RNAcentral lists this ribosomal RNA (420 nucleotides) under uncultured Pleurocapsa sp. RNAcentral's name for it is "bacterial SSU rRNA". It matches the Rfam family "Bacterial small subunit ribosomal RNA", at positions 356 to 790 of the family's 1533-position model. The record is from RNAcentral. Lineage: Bacteria; Bacillati; Cyanobacteriota; Cyanophyceae; Pleurocapsales; Pleurocapsaceae.